UACGGAGGGUGCAAGCGUUACUCGGAAUUACUGGGCGUAAAGCGCGCGCAGGUGGCUGGGUCAGUCGGUUGUGAAAGCCCUGGGCUUAACCUAGGAAUUGCAGUCGAUACUACUCAGCUAGAGUAUGGGAGAGGGUAGUGGAAUUCCCGGUGUAGCGGUGAAAUGCGUAGAUAUCGGGAGGAACAUCAGUGGCGAAGGCGGCGGCCUGGCCCAAUACUGACACUCAGGUGCGACAGCGUGGGGAGCAAACAGG
RNAcentral lists this ribosomal RNA (253 nucleotides) under uncultured bacterium. RNAcentral's name for it is "partial 16S ribosomal RNA". It matches the Rfam family "Bacterial small subunit ribosomal RNA", at positions 524 to 776 of the family's 1533-position model. The record is from RNAcentral.